RNAcentral lists this ribosomal RNA (301 nucleotides) under uncultured bacterium. RNAcentral's name for it is "partial 16S ribosomal RNA". It matches the Rfam family "Bacterial small subunit ribosomal RNA", at positions 509 to 807 of the family's 1533-position model. The record is from RNAcentral.
CAGUAGCCACGGUAAUACAGAGGAUGCAAGCGUUAUCCGGAAUGAUUGGGCGUAAAGCGUCUGUAGGUGGCUUUUCAAGUCCGCCGUCAAAUCCCAGGGCUCAACCCUGGACAGGCGGUGGAAACUACCAAGCUAGAGUACGGUAGGGGCAGAGGGAAUUUCCGGUGGAGCGGUGAAAUGCGUUGAGAUCGAAAAGAACACCAACGACGAAAGCACUCUGCUGGGUCGACACUGACACUGAGAGACGAAAGCUAGGGGAGCAAAUGGGAUUAGAUACCCCUGUAGUCCCUGUCUCUUAUAC